This 454-nucleotide ribosomal RNA is filed under the name uncultured Variovorax sp. Its description in RNAcentral is "bacterial SSU rRNA". It matches the Rfam family "Bacterial small subunit ribosomal RNA", at positions 925 to 1382 of the family's 1533-position model. The record is from RNAcentral. Lineage: Bacteria; Pseudomonadati; Pseudomonadota; Betaproteobacteria; Burkholderiales; Comamonadaceae.
ACAAGCGGUGGAUGAUGUGGUUUAAUUCGAUGCAACGCGAAAACCUUACCCACCUUUGACAUGUACGGAAUCCUUUAGAGAUAGAGGAGUGCUCGAAAGAGAGCCGUAACACAGGUGCUGCAUGGCUGUCGUCAGCUCGUGUCGUGAGAUGUUGGGUUAAGUCCCGCAACGAGCGCAACCCUUAUCAUUAGUUGCUACGCAAGGGCACUCUAAUGAGACUGCCGGUGACAAACCGGAGGAAGGUGGGGAUGACGUCAAGUCCUCAUGGCCCUUAUGGGUAGGGCUUCACACGUCAUACAAUGGUCGGUACAGAGGGUUGCCAAGCCGCGAGGCGGAGCCAAUCCCACAAAGCCGAUCGUAGUCCGGAUUGUUCUCUGCAACUCGAGAGCAUGAAGUCGGAAUCGCUAGUAAUCGCUGAUCAGCAGGCACGCGGUCGAAUACGUUCCCGGGCCUU